RNAcentral lists this long non-coding RNA (325 nucleotides) under Ictidomys tridecemlineatus (thirteen-lined ground squirrel). Its description in RNAcentral is "lncRNA (ENSSTOG00000030732.1)". The record is from RNAcentral. Lineage: Eukaryota; Metazoa; Chordata; Mammalia; Rodentia; Sciuridae.
CUGUGGUCAGCAAUGGGGGACCCCCCAGUGUCUGCUGUCCCACUGUGAGCAGAGGUCCCACAGCCCAUGGAGCGGGUGUGUCUGUCCUUCCCAGGUCCAGCGCCGAGUGCUGAGGUGGCGGACAUUCUGAGCACCUGAGGCAUGUCCCUGAGGGGGUGGCACCACACCUGUGACGGUGGCGUCCCCCUGCGAGAUGACCCGUCCCUGUGGCCACAGGCUGGGGCAGACCGGGGUCAGAGGACGGCUGGUGCAGGGCCUCCAUGACAAUGACCACCAACCUGGGAUGAGGGUCUACCAAGCCUCCGAGUCCAGCGCCCCAGCCCCG